UACUCCUACGGGAGGCAGCAGUAGGGAAUCUUCCGCAAUGGGCGAAAGCCUGACGGAGCAACGCCGCGUGAGUGAUGAAGGUCUUCGGAUCGUAAAACUCUGUUAUUAGGGAAGAACAUAUGUGUAAGUAACUGUGCACAUCUUGACGGUACCUAAUCAGAAAGCCACGGCUAACUACGUGCCAGCAGCCGCGGUAAUACGUAGGUGGCAAGCGUUAUCCGGAAUUAUUGGGCGUAAAGCGCGCGUAGGCGGUUUUUUAAGUCUGAUGUGAAAGCCCACGGCUCAACCGUGGAGGGUCAUUGGAAACUGGAAAACUUGAGUGCAGAAGAGGAAAGUGGAAUUCCAUGUGUAGCGGUGAAAUGCGCAGAGAUAUGGAGGAACACCAGUGGCGAAGGCGACUUUCUGGUCUGUAACUGACGCUGAUGUGCGAAAGCGUGGGGAUCAAACAGGAUUAGAUACCCUGGUAGUCCACGCCGUAAACGAUGAGUGCUAAGUGUUAGGGGGUUUCCGCCCCUUAGUGCUGCAGCUAACGCAUUAAGCACUCCGCCUGGGGAGUACGACCGCAAGGUUGAAACUCAAAGGAAUUGACGGA
Molecule: ribosomal RNA, 592 nt
Filed under: uncultured bacterium
Lineage: Bacteria
Description: bacterial SSU rRNA
Rfam family: Bacterial small subunit ribosomal RNA
Source: RNAcentral